AUAUGCACGAUAGAAAGCGAAGCCACGCGUCGUUUGGUGUGGGGCAUUUGCAGCCGCGUGUUACGAGCCGCCCCACGCACCGUCCCAAAUCUGCCACCGUAUCGUCUAAACCUUAGCUUGGUGGAAACCAAAUCAAAUUAAAACACAGCUAGCUAGCUAGCUUGCUAGCAAAGGCAAGAAAAUUGCGAAUGAAAAUGGUGAGUAAGAGAGCAGGUGGAUGUGGAUCCCCCAAGAAGACGACGAUGAGCUUGGUGGCUGAACGCCGCCCCCUAAUGAAGAAGAAGAACAAGAAGACACAACUACAGUAUUUCAAGAAAGUGUUUGAUUAUCUCUUCUCCGAUGACUACAUGUUUGCACCCUUGCUUUCAUCUCAUUUCUCCUCUCCUAAUACUUCUUCCAUUGCAGGAAUUGAGGAAUCAUCAGCAAAGGUACAUGGCGAUAAGGAUUUUGUGGAUAAAGUUGGAGAUUAUUUGAAGUGUGAUUGUUACUUGUAUUCUCCAUUGGUUAUUACCCAACCUUGGCUCAUCAGUUCUAGUGCUCAUGCUCUUGCUAGUCAAAGAGCAGGCUUGCAUUGCCUCCCUGCAAAGAAAGACAUCAGAAGCAACUCUGAUGUGGAGGAUUUGUUGAAAGAAUUAGCUGAUAAAACAGAUAAGCCUGCAGUUGAAAAGACUGCAAUUAGUGUUAGCAAGGAGCAGAUCAAUUUGAAGGGUCUUCACGAUAGAAGCACCAUUAUCAAACGUAGCCGGGUGCGCCGAGAAACUGUGAAGCACAUCAUAGAUGAUCUUCCAGAACUGCCUCCUAUGCCCAUCACAGGUUGAAUCCCCAAUCCUAAGUGCUUUCACACCCCGACCCCAUAGAGUAUGUGGGAAGAGGUAAAGAGCUCAUCAAGAAAGGUAUGGUUGAAGCAUGAAGAUUGAUAUGUGUAGCAAUAAUGGAAGCUUAGGUUGCUGCAGGUUAUAGUUGUGUAAAUUAGUUUCUGUAUGUUAAGGGAGAAGAUCAUAUCCACAGUACAAAAAUAGCAACGCAGUGUUAGAAAUAUAUGUUAGUGGCCGCCGAAAUGCUUGUGUUUGUGUAUAUGCCAAUCACAAAAAUUCAACAGAUAUAUAUAUAUAUAGAUAGAUUACUUCAAUU
RNA transcript from Ipomoea nil (Japanese morning glory), 1131 nucleotides. RefSeq lists it as uncharacterized. The transcript is spliced from 5 exons. The record is from RefSeq and is a predicted model, not a curated record. NCBI's taxonomy places the organism in Eukaryota, Viridiplantae, Streptophyta, Magnoliopsida, Solanales, Convolvulaceae.